CGUGCAGGCGGUUCGGUAAGUUGGAUGUGGAAUCUCCUGGCUCAACUGGGAGAGGACGUUCAAGACUGUCGGACUAGAGGACGGUAGAGGAAGGUAGAAUUCCCGGUGUAGUGGUGAAAUGCGUAGAUAUCGGGAGGAAUACCAGUGGCGAAGGCGGCCUUCUGGGCCGUUCCUGACGCUCAGACGCGAAAGCUAGGGGAAGGCAAACG
This 209-nucleotide ribosomal RNA is filed under the name uncultured bacterium. RNAcentral describes it as "partial 16S ribosomal RNA". It matches the Rfam family "Bacterial small subunit ribosomal RNA", at positions 568 to 774 of the family's 1533-position model. The record is from RNAcentral.